RNAcentral lists this ribosomal RNA (378 nucleotides) under uncultured bacterium. Its description in RNAcentral is "bacterial SSU rRNA". It matches the Rfam family "Bacterial small subunit ribosomal RNA", at positions 527 to 897 of the family's 1533-position model. The record is from RNAcentral.
GUAGGUGGCAAGCGUUGUCCGGAUUUAUUGGGUUUAAAGGGUGCGUAUUGCGGUUCCAUAAGUCAGUGGUGAAAUACGGCAGCUCAACUGUCGAGGUGCCAUUGAUACUGCGGAACUUGAGUACUGAUGAGGUAGGCGGAAUUGACGGUGUAGCGGUGAAAUGCUUAGAUAUCGUCAAGAACACCGAUAGCGAAGGGCAGCUUACCAAGCAGUAACUGACGCUGAGGCACGAAAGUGCGGGGAUCAAACAGGAAUAAGAUACCCCUGGUAGUCCGCACAGUAAAACGAUGAUUACUCGAUGUUGGCGAUACACAGCCCGCCGUCUUAGCCAAAACCAAUAAGUAAAUUCCCCCUGGGGAGUACGCCCGCCAGGGGUGG